UCUCCGUUGGUGAACCAGCGGAGGGAUCAUUACCGAGUGUAAAAACUCCCAAACCAUUGUGAACCUACCACUGUUGCUUCGGCGGCCUCGCCCCGGGCGCGUUCGCGCGGCCCGGACCCAGGCGUCCGCCGGAGGUCUUAAACCCUGAAUUCUAGUGUAUCUCUGAGGAUGAAAAAAAACCAAUUAAAACUUUCAACAACGGAUCUCUUGGCUCUG
This 216-nucleotide unclassified non-coding RNA is filed under the name root metagenome. Its description in RNAcentral is "partial contains small subunit ribosomal RNA, internal transcribed spacer 1, and 5.8S ribosomal RNA". The record is from RNAcentral.